RNAcentral lists this ribosomal RNA (254 nucleotides) under uncultured bacterium. RNAcentral describes it as "partial 16S ribosomal RNA". It matches the Rfam family "Bacterial small subunit ribosomal RNA", at positions 524 to 776 of the family's 1533-position model. The record is from RNAcentral.
UACAGAGGGUGCGAGCGUUGUCCGGAAUCACUGGGCGUAAAGGGCGCGUAGGUGGUGGCUUAAGCGUGCGGUGAAAGCUCGGGGCUCAACUCCGAGUCGGCCGUGCGAACUGGGCUCACUGGAGCAUAGUAGAGGCAGGUGGAGUUCCGGGUGUAGCGGUGGAAUGCGUAGAGAUCCGGAAGAACACCGGUGGCGAAGGCGGCCUGCUGGGCUAUGGCUGACACUGAGGCGCGACAGCGUGGGGAGCAAACAGG